This 253-nucleotide ribosomal RNA is filed under the name uncultured bacterium. RNAcentral describes it as "partial 16S ribosomal RNA". It matches the Rfam family "Bacterial small subunit ribosomal RNA", at positions 524 to 776 of the family's 1533-position model. The record is from RNAcentral.
GACAGAGGGUGCAAACGUUGUUCGGAAUUACUGGGCGUAAAGCGCGUGUAGGCUGCUCCGUAAGUCAGGUGUGAAAGCCCCGGGCUCAACCUGGGAAGUGCACUUGAAACCUCGGAGCUUGAAUGCCGGAGAGGGUAGCGGAAUUCUCGGUGUAGAGGUGAAAUUCGUAGAUAUCGAGAGGAACACCGGUGGCGAAGGCGGCUACCUGGACGGCUAUUGACGCUGAGACGCGAAAGCGUGGGGAGCAAACAGG